This 488-nucleotide ribosomal RNA is filed under the name uncultured Bacillota bacterium. RNAcentral's name for it is "bacterial SSU rRNA". It matches the Rfam family "Bacterial small subunit ribosomal RNA", at positions 8 to 513 of the family's 1533-position model. Lineage: Bacteria; Bacillati; Bacillota. The record is from RNAcentral.
AGGGUUCGAUCAUGGCUCAGGACGAACGCUGGCGGCGGGCCUAACACAUGCAAGUCGAACGAACUCGACCUUCGGGUCAUAUAGUGAGUGGCGAACGGGUGAGUAACACGUGAGAAACCUGCCCCGAAGACUGGAACAACCCGAGGAAACUCGGGCUAAUACCGGAUACCCCCAUCGGAUCGCAUGAUCUGAUGAGGAAAUGCUCCGGCGCUUCGGGAGGGUCUCGCGGCCUAUCAGCUAGUUGGUGAGGUAACGGCUCACCAAGGCAACGACGGGUAGCUGGUCUGAGAGGACGAUCAGCCACACUGGGACUGAGACACGGCCCAGACUCCUACGGGAGGCAGCAGUGGGGAAUAUUGCGCAAUGGGCGAAAGCCUGACGCAGCCACGCCGCGUGAGGGAUGAAGGCUCUAGGGUUGUAAACCUCUUUAGGCAGGGAAGAAAAUGACGGUACCUGCAGAAUAAGGUCCGGCCAACUACGUGCCAGCC